MicroRNA precursor from Schistosoma mansoni, 78 nucleotides. It matches the Rfam family "mir-3492 microRNA precursor family". The record is from Rfam. NCBI's taxonomy places the organism in Eukaryota, Metazoa, Platyhelminthes, Trematoda, Strigeidida, Schistosomatidae.
AGCCUUCUGAGUUCGUGCUGAGAUUUCGUCAGACACUAGACCAUCAGGACUGAUUAAACUCUCAAGAUAAGUGAAGUG